CUAGGUUUUUACCUAUUGCUUGGUCUUGGAGAUGGAAGCCAAUUCAUUGGAAUCCUCUUCGAAAUUCAAUGGCGAAGACCCUUGCUCUCCCAAGUGUAGUAAUAACUUAUAUCACUGAAGGAAGCGAGAAAUCUUCCGCCGAAACCCCCAUAUUUUCUAUGAUUGACCUCGGAUCAGGUAGGGAUACCCGCUGAACUUAA
Molecule: unclassified non-coding RNA, 200 nt
Filed under: soil metagenome
Description: partial contains internal transcribed spacer 2 and large subunit ribosomal RNA
Source: RNAcentral